RNAcentral lists this ribosomal RNA (494 nucleotides) under uncultured bacterium. RNAcentral's name for it is "partial 16S ribosomal RNA". It matches the Rfam family "Bacterial small subunit ribosomal RNA", at positions 28 to 507 of the family's 1533-position model. The record is from RNAcentral.
GACGAACGCUGGCGGCGUGCUUAACACAUGCAAGUCGAACGGAAAGGCCUGCUUUCCCUUGUGGAUUGCGGGUACUCGAGUGGCGAACGGGUGAGUAACACGUGAGUGAUCUGCCCCCAACUUGGGUAUAAGCCUGGGAAACUGGGUCUAAUUCCCGAUAGGACUGCAGGGUGGUGCCUGUGGUGGAAAACGAUUUUCUAGUGGUUGGGGAUGAGCUCGCGGCCUAUCAGCUUGUUGGUGGGGUAAUGGCCUACCAAGGCGGCGACGGGUAGCCGGCCUGAGAGGGUGGACGGCCACAUUGGGACUGAGAUACGGCCCAGACUCCUACGGGAGGCAGCAGUGGGGAAUAUUGCACAAUGGGCGGAAGCCUGAUGCAGCGACGCCGCGUGGGGGGUGACGGCCUUCGGGUUGUAAACUCCUUUCGACCGCGAGGAAGCCACCUGGUUGGAAGGGUGGUGACGGUAGUGGUAGAAGAAGCACCGGCUAACUACGUG